GCGAAGCAAUAAAAUACGUCUCUGCAAACAUUGAGACACCUAACUAGGUAAAUGGUUGCUUGCACUUUUGCACUGAUGUUUUUUAGCACUUAUUUUUUAGUAUUCGAACCAACGUUACGAGCCGAUGAAAAAAAAACAAACAAAAAAAAAAGCUUCAAAAUUGGGCUAAAACUUCACCGCAGCAACUUUACAUCAGAAUGAAUUGGGACCAAAUUCACAUAAACGUUGUCUCACUGUACCACUGUAACACUAACCUUGUGCCUCAUCGGUGUGGAAGGAAAGGAAUCAGCGUUUUAUAGCAUUUGAUUCCAUCCAUUAAAGAAAGAAAAUACAAAUAAAACAAAUCGCCGGUGCCGUGUGAAGUUACUUUUCGUGCCAAAAUGCUGAGUUCCGGUGCGUACCCUUCAAAGUAAAAGUCUACAAGCUUAGAACAGGAAGUCAAGUUAAAAUUUGCACAUAUAAACCAUUUGACGUCAAUUGGGAUAGUCCAACAAACAUGACCUUUUAGUUCAUAGGUUUGAUAUGGAUACUGGUUAUAAAGAACCUCGGGUCAAAUGUUCAUUUUAGUCGACGCUACGGGCUGCUAAGAAAAUGGACGUUCAUGAUUUGGACACCCUUUAUUAAAACCAUGCAAACUUUUUUAACCCAGCCUCCUAAAAGAAUCGGAAUCAAGAAUCGUUUGGAACUAGUUUCGGAACCGUCAUUUCUCAAAUUCAAACAAUUCCCAACCCUAGUGAGUGCCCAACUAAUUUGAUAGCGAUUACAUUUGGCAUUUACAAGUCAGUGCACAUUCUCGGUGAGUCAGAUUGGGGCAAGGCGAACCUAACGUGGAUCACACCUCUGAUGUAAAUCAUUGUUUUCUGGAAUUUCAUUUUCUCACACAGUUGUAUAACAUCCAGCACUGAGGCAUGAGGUCUGGCGAAACCAACACAGGACAAAUUCCCCAAUGGGCGUCCGUGACAAAGACGUUGCUUGGAUGGCAGCAUAUGUUUCUCCAAAACCUAUGCUGGCUUUUGAACUUUGCGUCCAUAACAGUCCGGAUGGUUCUUUUCCUCUUUGGCACGGAGGACACGACGACCACAAUUUCCCAAAAACAAUUUGAAAUGUGGACUCGUCG
Long non-coding RNA from Phyllopteryx taeniolatus (common seadragon), 1117 nucleotides. RefSeq lists it as uncharacterized. The record is from RefSeq and is a predicted model, not a curated record. The transcript has 3 exons. NCBI's taxonomy places the organism in Eukaryota, Metazoa, Chordata, Actinopteri, Syngnathiformes, Syngnathidae.